ACCCCAAGGACCCGCCAACCUCCUCCUCUCUGGUGCUCAGAUUACGUGCAAGCUCCACCAUGCUCUGCUGUUUACAUGGGUUCUGGGCAUCAACCUCAGGUGUCCUACUUGCAAGGAAAACACUACCACCUGGACGAUACCUCUGGAAUCCACCUGGAUCCCUUCCCCAGUCCUGGGCCUCCUGCAGACAUAAGCACACUGGCCUUCCUGAGUCUCCUCACACACCUGUGCGCAGCUCACUUUGCCCACUGGGGCUCUGGCAUUGCUGGCACAAGAGUUAACCCCCAGGAAAGAAAAGAGCUAAAAAGCUCCAGGACUGCAAGGGAGUCCUAGGGUCUGCUCAGUUCUCCUAGGAGGAAAGAGGUGUUAAGUUUCCACAAGCCUUCUGUCAUCCUUACAGCUAUAACUCCCAUUCUAAGCUUCCUCAGUCCUGACUGCUUAGCAGAUCAAGGGAGGAAUGCAUUUACACACACUGGACUUUGUGUUAGAAGGGGAAAAACACAUUAGCAUAAAAUAUAUAGGGAAGGAAACUCAGUCACUAACAACAGUCAGUCCAAGCAUGUUUUGCCACCAACACACACCAUGUGCCCCAAGCCUGCUCAAAACGUAUCUUCUCCUCUUCACUAAAUGCUCAGGGUUUCUGGUAUUUUUCACAAAUCUCCUAUAUGUUCCCCAUGUCUCCUGGAAGCCUAGUGGCAAUUAAUACAUAAAUUAAGUCAGACUUCCAAAGUCUCACAGUCUCUGAAAACUUGCUUGAGACCACACAGAGGACUGGCUCAUGCAUCCACUCGGUGUCCAUUUAGUUACAGAUUCCUUAGUGUCCACUCCAAUGCCAAGCCUGGCUGUUGUCACAAUACCAGCAAAGUUGCUGGCUUCCCUCAGUGAGGGCUCACUGUUCUCUGAAAAUGCAGCAGGGUUCUUUUAGAGGUGAAAGCUUUAAAAGGGGAUAGGACUGUUUAAAGACACAAAAGGGUAAGGAGAUUUUUUUCUCUGGUUGGUUUUUAUUUUAUUUUAUUUUAGGAGACAAGGUUUCCUCUAGCCCAGGCUGAUUCACAGUUCACUACAUAACAAAGGAGGACCUUGAACUCCUGAUUCUUCUGCCACACUCUCCCUGCUGCUGAAAUUACAAAAAAGCAAAUGAACUUAGCAUCUCUGUGGGUGACGGAUAUGAUGGUGAUGGUGACAGAGGAAAAGAAAGAGGAAGUAUAUGCAAGGAGGCUGAAAUGAAGCUGUUGGUGAAGGGCCCAGCCCCCCUGCUUUAGCAACCAUGACAGGCUGCAGAAAAGACAUGUAGGCCUCUGAUUCAGCACAUGUCUGACCUUGCUGGGCCUGCCCUAGUCACUAGGAGGCCAGGUACCCUCCUCGUGGUAAGGAACCAAUGAGAAGCUGGCUGUCAGGGCUGUGCUUUAUGGCUCUGGGUGUGCUUUACAGUACAAGUGCACAACAGUGACAUGCAGAGCAUAGCAACUGCCCUGGGAGGGCCUACAGGUCAUAACAAGCAGUUGACCAAUCAACACAGGACAUGUCAUCCAAGCCCAGAAGUGCUCCAAUCCUGAGACUGUUGCUUACCCCUAGAUACUCCCCUUGUUCUACCCAAUGUAUUCCCUGCCUCGUGGUUCCCCUGGUUCCUUCUCCAAGCACCUGACUCUAUGAACAGAUGAAAGGCCUAAGCUAAUGGAGUUAUCUCGUUAAAUAAUAAAAGACUUUGCUUUUGCAUCAGAA
Molecule: long non-coding RNA, 1722 nt
Organism: Mesocricetus auratus (golden hamster)
Lineage: Eukaryota; Metazoa; Chordata; Mammalia; Rodentia; Cricetidae
Exons: 2
Source: RefSeq, a predicted model, not a curated record